GUUAUUUGCAGGAUACUUUAUAAGAGGGCAGUGCAGUACAUAAACUAAAUUAGGCAUCACAUCAUCGAACAAACAAACAUGAUUACUGAUUUGCAUCAACAUACAGCAAUGUCAUACUGGAUGUUACUAUCUGAGGCCAUGAUACUUCCCAGACAGAUUCCCUAAUACAAGUUAUGACUGAAGCAUCAGUACAGUGACACACAUGGCAAGGAACAUGCUGGUCGCAAUAAUUGUGGUUAUGUCCUAGUCACCGGUAGCAUGAACCUCUGCCACACCAACCCACUUCUACUGAU
This is a long non-coding RNA of Polypterus senegalus (gray bichir), 293 nucleotides long. RefSeq lists it as uncharacterized. The record is from RefSeq and is a predicted model, not a curated record. Lineage: Eukaryota; Metazoa; Chordata; Cladistia; Polypteriformes; Polypteridae. The transcript has 3 exons.